AUUGAACGCUGGCGGCAUGCUUUACACAUGCAAGUCGAACGGCAGCGCGGGCUUCGGCCUGGCGGCGAGUGGCGAACGGGUGAGUAAUGCUUCGGAACGUGCCCAGUAAUGGGGGAUAACCCGGAGCAAGCCGGAUAAAUACCGCAUACGACCUGAGGCUGUAAGCGGGGGACCGAAAGGCCUCGCGCUAUUGUAGCGGCCGAUGUCGGAUUAGCUAGUUGGUGGGGUAAAGGCUUACCAAGGCGACGAUCCGUAGCUGGUCUGAGAGGACGACCAGCCACACUGGGACUGAGACACGGCCCAGACUCCUACGGGAGGCAGCAGUGGGGAAUUUUGGACAAUGGGGGCAACCCUGAUCCAGCCAUGCCGCGUGCGGGAAGAAGGCCUUCGGGUUGUAAACCGCUUUUGUUCGGGAAGAAAUCCUCUGGGCUAAUACCCCGGGGGGAUGACGGUACCGGAAGAAUAAGCACCGGCUAACUACGUG
Molecule: ribosomal RNA, 484 nt
Filed under: uncultured bacterium
Lineage: Bacteria
Description: partial 16S ribosomal RNA
Rfam family: Bacterial small subunit ribosomal RNA
Source: RNAcentral